Molecule: ribosomal RNA, 505 nt
Filed under: uncultured bacterium
Lineage: Bacteria
Description: partial 16S ribosomal RNA
Rfam family: Bacterial small subunit ribosomal RNA
Source: RNAcentral
GGCGAACGCUGGCGGCGUGCCUAAUACAUGCAAGUAGAACGCACAGUUUAUACCGUAGCUUGCUACACCAUAGACUGUGAGUUGCGAACGGGUGAGUAACGCGUAGGUAACCUGCCUGGUAGCGGGGGAUAACUACUGGAAACGAUAGCUAAUACCGCAUAAUAUUAAUUAUUGCAUGAUAAUUAAUUGAAAGGUGCAAUUGCACCACUACCAGAUGGACCUGCGUUGUAUUAGCUAGUAGGUGAGGUAACGGCUCACCUAGGCGACGAUACAUAGCCGACCUGAGAGGGUGAUCGGCCACACUGGGACUGAGACACGGCCCAGACUCCUACGGGAGGCAGCAGUAGGGAAUCUUCGGCAAUGGACGAAAGUCUGACCGAGCAACGCCGCGUGAGUGAAGAAGGUUUUCGGAUCGUAAAGCUCUGUUGUAAGAGAAGAACGGGUGUGAGAGUGGAAAGUUCACACUGUGACGGUAUCUUACCAGAAAGGGACGGCUAACUACGUG